GUUAUUUCUUACUCCUAAACUUCUUGUGGAGCUCCUUCCUACAGUUAGGAACUUCCUUCUGGAGUUAUAAGUUUUCUUCAAAUGUAGCACUCUAUUCCAUGUCGAAAGUCACCAAGUUUUUGAGUUCACCACGGGGACGACGGGUCUGCGACGGUGCUACCGCACGUCUGUCCAGUGAGAAGUAACGCCUGCAGAAGAGCAGUGUCCAAUAUUGCCGCCAUCUCUCUAGCACGCGAAUCGAGGGGUAUGUUGACUCUGCCCUUAGUUGACCGCUUGGGGCGACUGCUUUCGUAAGAAACAAAGGUAUGCCCGACAGCAUCCGAGACAACCUCGUCUGUCCCCUCAGCAGCCGCCUUUCCGAUUAUGUAACUCCGCUUUUUCUGAAGGAACUUAACCAGCGCCAUUAAAGUAUUGUGAGACAUUUUCUUGGACUCGAGAGCUGAAUUCUCGUCGUAUUCCAGUAUAUUAGAAGAAGAUUGUUGUUCCAUAUCAUCUGAAAUACCCGAAUUGCCCCUUGAUAAAUAUGCCUCACCGCCCACAUCCAAGAACUUAUCGGGUUCACUUAUAACAGAUGAUUUGGGAAUCACGAUAGAUGGAUAUAGAGAGAGUACGUAUGUUAUUUCGACUUGGGAUGCCACAAAGUGCUCCAUUGCCUCUUCAUAGCUCCCGUUUUCAAACAAAUAAUGUGCAUAUCUAAUAUGAAUUGAUUGCUCCUUUGAGGCUCGAAGGCUAGAAUCUUCUGGGGGAAGCAGCUUACAUAACGCCAAAGCUUCCUCAAAAUUUCCAGAUGCCGUUAGUUGUACAAUCUG
This 809-nucleotide long non-coding RNA is filed under the name Helianthus annuus (common sunflower). RNAcentral's name for it is "hypothetical non coding rna". The record is from RNAcentral. Lineage: Eukaryota; Viridiplantae; Streptophyta; Magnoliopsida; Asterales; Asteraceae.